GACGAACGCUGGCGGCGUGCUUAACACAUGCAAGUCGAACGGAAAGGCCCUGCUUUUGUGGGGUGCUCGAGUGGCGAACGGGUGAGUAACACGUGAGUAACCUGCCCUUGACUUUGGGAUAACUUCAGGAAACUGGGGCUAAUACCGGAUAGGAGCUCCUGCUGCAUGGUGGGGGUUGGAAAGUUUCGGCGGUUGGGGAUGGACUCGCGGCUUAUCAGCUUGUUGGUGGGGUAGUGGCUUACCAAGGCUUUGACGGGUAGCCGGCCUGAGAGGGUGACCGGCCACAUUGGGACUGAGAUACGGCCCAGACUCCUACGGGGGGCAGCAGUGGGGAAUAUUGCACAAUGAGCGGAAGCCUGAUGCAGCAACGCCGCGGGCGGGAAGACGGCCUUCGGGUUGUAAACCGCUUUCGCCUGUGACGAAGCGUGAGUGACGGUAAUGGGUAAAGAAGCACCGGCUAACUACGUG
RNAcentral lists this ribosomal RNA (468 nucleotides) under uncultured bacterium. RNAcentral describes it as "partial 16S ribosomal RNA". It matches the Rfam family "Bacterial small subunit ribosomal RNA", at positions 28 to 507 of the family's 1533-position model. The record is from RNAcentral.